This 336-nucleotide ribosomal RNA is filed under the name uncultured bacterium. RNAcentral's name for it is "bacterial SSU rRNA". It matches the Rfam family "Bacterial small subunit ribosomal RNA", at positions 163 to 507 of the family's 1533-position model. The record is from RNAcentral.
CUAAUACCGCAUAGUACAGAAAUGUUAAAGGGCUAGCAAUAGUCGCUUCGAGAUGAGCCUGCGGUCUAUCAGCUUGUUGGUGAGGUAAUCGGCUCACCAAGGCUACGACGGAUAGCCGGUCUGAGAGGAUGAUCGGCCACACUGGCACUGAGACACGGGCCAGACUCCCUACGGGAGGCAGCAGUAAGGAAUAUUGCUCAAUGGGGGGAAACCCUGAAGCAGCAACGCCGCGUGAAGGAUGAAAUACUUUUGUAUGUAAACUUCUGUAAGAUGGGAAAAAUAUUCUCCUCGGGAGAAUUGAUUGUACCAUCAGAGUAAGCCCCGGCUAACUACGUG